GGACGAACGCUGGCGGCGUGCCUAAUACAUGCAAGUCGAACGAACUCUGGUAUUGAUUGGUGCUUGCAUCAUGAUUUACAUUUGAGUGAGUGGCGAACUGGUGAGUAACACGUGGGAAACCUGCCCAGAAGCGGGGGAUAACACCUGGAAACAGAUGCUAAUACCGCAUAACAACUUGGACCGCAUGGUCCGAGUUUGAAAGAUGGCUUCGGCUAUCACUUUUGGAUGGUCCCGCGGCGUAUUAGCUAGAUGGUGRGGUAACGGCUCACCAUGGCAAUGAUACGUAGCCGACCUGAGAGGGUAAUCGGCCACAUUGGGACUGAGACACGGCCCAAACUCCUACGGGAGGCAGCAGUAGGGAAUCUUCCACAAUGGACGAAAGUCUGAUGGAGCAACGCCGCGUGAGUGAAGAAGGGUUUCGGCUCGUAAAACUCUGUUGUUAAAGAAGAACAUAUCUGAGAGUAACUGUUCAGGUAUUGACGGUAUUUAACCAGAAAGCCACGGCUAACUACGUGCCAGCAGCCGCGGUAAUACGUAGGUGGCAAGCGUUGUCCGGAUUUAUUGGGCGUAAAGCGAGCGCAGGCGGUUUUUUAAGUCUGAUGUGAAAGCCUUCGGCUCAACCGAAGAAGUGCAUCGGAAACUGGGAAACUUGAGUGCAGAAGAGGACAGUGGAACUCCAUGUGUAGCGGUGAAAUGCGUAGAUAUAUGGAAGAACACCAGUGGCGAAGGCGGCUGUCUGGUCUGUAACUGACGCUGAGGCUCGAAAGUAUGGGUAGCAAACA
This 782-nucleotide ribosomal RNA is filed under the name Lactiplantibacillus plantarum. Its description in RNAcentral is "bacterial SSU rRNA". It matches the Rfam family "Bacterial small subunit ribosomal RNA", at positions 27 to 774 of the family's 1533-position model. Lineage: Bacteria; Bacillati; Bacillota; Bacilli; Lactobacillales; Lactobacillaceae. The record is from RNAcentral.